AAGGAUUUAAUUUAAAGAAUAAAAUAUUAGUUUGUCAAAUUAAAAAUACAAUUUUAGUAAUUCUUU
RNAcentral lists this transfer RNA (66 nucleotides) under Signoretia aureola. Its description in RNAcentral is "tRNA-Asp". Lineage: Eukaryota; Metazoa; Arthropoda; Insecta; Hemiptera; Cicadellidae. The record is from RNAcentral.